UACGUAGGGUGCGAGCGUUGUCCGGAAUUACUGGGCGUAAAGAGCUCGUAGGUGGUUUGUCGCGUUGUUCGUGAAAUCUCACGGCUUAACUGUGAGCGUGCGGGCGAUACGGGCAGACUAGAGUACUGCAGGGGAGACUGGAAUUCCUGGUGUAGCGGUGGAAUGCGCAGAUAUCAGGAGGAACACCGGUGGCGAAGGCGGGUCUCUGGGCAGUAACUGACGCUGAGGAGCGAAAGCGUGGGAGCGAACAGG
RNAcentral lists this ribosomal RNA (252 nucleotides) under uncultured bacterium. RNAcentral describes it as "partial 16S ribosomal RNA". It matches the Rfam family "Bacterial small subunit ribosomal RNA", at positions 524 to 776 of the family's 1533-position model. The record is from RNAcentral.